GAGCUCAUCACCGGCAAAAUAGAAAAUGGUUGAUGCUCUAGUCUCUUCAACAGAGAACAAGAGACGUGAGAGAGGAGGAAGACAAUGGGUUCCUCGUAUUUAGGUUUUGUUAUAUGUAUUAAGGCCAUCCAUUUCGGCAAAUUCCUCUUCUCACGCUAACCGGAGUUCUACUUCCUCCUCCCUGCAAGACCGGCCCUCACCUCCAUGGACGGCGAUUUUGAUCUGUAAAAAUAUGAUAUGUCACCGUUAGAGCCUCUUCCUCUUUGUACCAA
Molecule: long non-coding RNA, 272 nt
Organism: Humulus lupulus (European hop)
Lineage: Eukaryota; Viridiplantae; Streptophyta; Magnoliopsida; Rosales; Cannabaceae
Exons: 3
Source: RefSeq, a predicted model, not a curated record